CACCAGCCCCUCGAGUGGUGGGGAUGAUUAUUUGGCCUAAAGCGUCCGUAGCCGGCCAGGUAAGUUUCCCGUUAAAUCCAACGUCUCAAGCGUUGGACUGCGGGAAAUACUACUUGGCUAGAGAGUGGGAGAGGUGUACGGUAUUCUGGGGGUAGGGCGAAAUCCUUUGAUCCCCGGAGGACCACCAGUGGCGAAGGCUGUACACUAGAACACGUCUGACGGUCAGGGACGAAAGCUGGGGUAGCGAACCGGAUUAGAUACCCGGGUAGUCCCAGCUGUAAACGAUGCAUGCUAGGUGUUGGGUUGGCCACGAGCCACCCCAGUGCCGCAGGGAAGCCGUUAAGCAUGCCGCCUGGGAAGUACGAUCGCAAGAUUGAAACUUAAAGGAAUUGGCGGGGAGCACCACCAGGCGUGAAGCCUGCGGUUU
Molecule: ribosomal RNA, 427 nt
Filed under: uncultured archaeon
Lineage: Archaea
Description: bacterial SSU rRNA
Rfam family: Archaeal small subunit ribosomal RNA
Source: RNAcentral